RNAcentral lists this small RNA (493 nucleotides) under Pongo abelii (Sumatran orangutan). Its description in RNAcentral is "processed transcript". Lineage: Eukaryota; Metazoa; Chordata; Mammalia; Primates; Hominidae. The record is from RNAcentral.
AGGUGUGCUGAGGUCCCUCAGCAAGGGACACUGCUUUCCCCUGGCAGCCACACUGCUCAGCAUAAAUGCUUUAAAGUGUCAGCAAAUGAUGUGUGGAGAGAAGUAUGACUGCAUUACAGCUUAAAGAGCUUUCACAUUCAGGUCUCUACAGGAGAAGACGAGAUCGUCCGGAUAGUUUGAGAGUAAAUGGGUUACCGGAGGAAGAGCUAAGCAACAUGGCCAAUGCCCUGGCCAACACCACUUGCGAGCGCUGCAAGGGUGGCUUUGCGCCCGCUGAGAAGAUCGUGAACAGUAACGGGGAGCUGUACCCAUGAGCAGUGUUCUGUGUGCGCUCAGUGCUUCCAGCAGUUCCCAGAAGGACUCUUCUAUGAGAAACGGAGUCUCCCUAUGUUGCCCAGGCUGGUCUCAAACUCCUGGGCUCAGGUGAUCCUCGGCCUCCCAAAGUGCUAGGAUUACAGUUUGAAGGAAGAAAGUACUGUGAACAUGACUUUCA